This 468-nucleotide ribosomal RNA is filed under the name uncultured bacterium. RNAcentral's name for it is "partial 16S ribosomal RNA". It matches the Rfam family "Bacterial small subunit ribosomal RNA", at positions 28 to 507 of the family's 1533-position model. The record is from RNAcentral.
GACGAACGCUGGCGGCGUGCUUAACACAUGCAAGUCGAACGGAAAGGCCCUGCUUUUGUGGGGUGCUCGAGUGGCGAACGGGUGCGUAACACGUGAGUAACCUGCCCUUGACUUUGGGAUAACUUCAGGAAACUGGGGCUAAUACCGGAUAGGAGCUCCUGCUGCUUGGUGGGGGUUGGAAAGUUUCGGCGGUUGGGGAUGGACUCGCGGCUUAUCAGCUUGUUGGUGGGGUAGUGGCUUACCAAGGCUUUGACGGGUAGCCGGCCUGAGAGGGUGACCGGCCACAGUGGGACUGAGAUACGGCCCAGACUCCUACGGGAGGCAGCAGUGGGGAAUAGUGCACAAUGGGCGGAAGCCUGAUGCAGCAACGCCGCGUGCGGGAGGACGGCCUUCGGGUUGUAAACCGCGUGCGCCUGUGACGAAGCGUGAGUGACGGUAAUGGGUAAAGAAGCACCGGCUAACUACGUG